AUGGCACCGAAGAAGAAACCUCAAUCAUCCAAAGGCAAAGGCAAAGGUUCUUCUUCUUCUUCUUCUUCUUUUUCUUCAACAGGUCCCAAAUUACAAAUAUCUGCUGAGAACGAGAAUCGUCUCCGACGACUUUUGCUUAAUUCCGGCCGGUCCACACAAUCUCCGGCGACAACUCCGGCAGAAGAUGCUCUCUCGAAAGCACAGAAAGCCAAGAAACUUCGUUCUAUAUACGAAAAGCUUUCUUGUGAGGGCUUUUCUGAUCAUCAAAUUGAACAAGCUUUAUCCGCUCUCAAGGAGAGAGCCACGUUUGAAGCUGCGUUAGAUUGGCUAUGCUUGAAUUUUAGAGGGAAUGAGCUUCCUCUGAAGUUUUCAAGUGGUACUUCCCAAUUGAACGAAGGUUCUGUUGGUAUCAUAUCAACUGCUCGAGAAGAUUGGGUUCCUUCAGCAGAUUCAUCUGUGGCAGAAGUUAAAGAUGAGAGAAUACCUAAAGUUUCAGUUGUGCCGAAGGGUCGAAGUGAUAGUGAAUCUCUACGUACAGUUGAACGUUCACAGGCUGAUUGGAUCCGUCAGUAUAUGGAACAACAGGAAGAGGAUGAAGCUGAAAGUUGGGAAUCUGGUUAUUUUGACGAUGGUUCCCUAGAGCAGCAGGUUCCGCGGAAAAAGCGUAGUAUUGAGUCCAUUGUCCAAGAAUUUCAUACUGCAAGGCUGGAAGCUAUUCAUGCAAAGGAGCGCGGAGACAAAAAGAGCCAUGAACAAGCCGGCCGAACCAUUCGGAAGAUCAAGCAGGAGAUAUCUGCUCUAGGGCUAUCGGCUGAUAUCCUGGAAUCUGCACAUGAAAGUGCUUCGAACCAUGCAGUACUGGACAUGUCCCCAGAGAAACUUGAUGUUGAUGAUGUUACUUUACACAAUUUCAGAACGUCGAAUAUUUAUGAACAGGCGAAUAUUCAUGAACACGAGAUAGAAAUAGAUGAAAAGGUAGCUGUCAAUAGCAGCUCUAAUGAAUUCACUGAAAACACUCCACCAAGUGUUCCUAUAGAUGACGAGGUGGCUUCAGGAGGAGCACCAGAAGACGUAGAGCUUGGUGAUUUCUUAUUUGAAGAAGAUUCCUCUGCUGAUGUGUCGUCUACUAUACUAGAGCUGCAGAAGAAAGAAAAGAUGAGAGAAUUAUGUAGUCAGAAGAACUUAGAGAAGUUAGAAGGUAUAUGGAAAAAGGGAGAUCCACAAAAGAUUCCAAAGGCUUUUCUUCACCAACUAUGUCAAAGAUCAGGGUGGGAGGCACCAAAGUAUGCGAAAACACCUGGAAAAGGAAAUAUUUCAAAUUACUCAGUCAGUGUAAUGCGCAAAGCCAGUGGGAGGGGUAAGAGCAGAAAAGCUGGAGGGCUAGUAACAAUCGAGCUUCCUAGUCAGGAUCAUACUUCUUCUACUGCUGAGGAUUCACAAAACAGAGUUGCAGCUUAUGCUCUCCAUCGCUUGUUUCCGGAUCUCCCAGUUCACAUGCCAAUUACCGAGCCAUAUGCAUCACUUAUUUUGCAGUGGGAGGAAGGUGAUUCCGUGAAAGAUAUUGUGGAUGAUCAAGUGGAACGAAGGGCCUAUUUUGUGGAUUCAUUACUAGACGCUAGCAGUUCAGAAACCAUAACUCAUUCUGAUGUCUCCAAUAAUGCUAUCGAAGAAAAGUUUUUAGAGCCUCACACCACAAAAGAUAAGACAGCGGCUGCUGAUUUUACAGCCAAAAAUCCCCGUAAAGAAGCAGAAAGUCUCUCUCUGAAAAAGGAACAGGAGGGGAGAAAGAAGCUGAAGAAGUACCAGGAAAUGUUAAAAUCACGGGCUGCCCUUCCUAUUGCUGACUUAAAAGGCAAGAUCCUGCAUUCGCUGGAGGAGAAUGAUGUUUUGGUCAUUUGUGGGGAAACAGGUUGCGGGAAAACAACUCAGGUCCCUCAAUUUAUACUGGAUGACAUGAUUGAAUCAGGACGUGGGGGACACUGUAACAUUAUAUGCACACAACCAAGGCGAAUCGCGGCUAUUUCUGUGGCUGAAAGAGUUGCUGAUGAGCGUUGUGAAUCUUCACCAGGUUCGAGUGAGUCCUUGGUUGGUUACCAAGUUCGCCUCGAUAGUGCAAGGAAUGAGAGAACAAAGCUCCUCUUUUGUACAACUGGCAUUCUUUUGAGAAUGUUUUCAGGAAAUAAAAACUUGGCUGGUUUUAGUCAUAUCAUUGUUGAUGAAGUGCAUGAGAGGUCACUUCUGGGUGAUUUUCUGCUCAUUGUCUUGAAGAGUCUCAUCCAGAAGCAAUCUGCCCUUGGUACGGCAAAACUGAAAGUUAUACUCAUGUCUGCGACAGUAGAUUCACAUUUGUUUUCUCAUUACUUUGGUGACUGCCCUGUACUUACUGCUCAAGGCCGAACACAUCCUGUUUCAACUUACUUUCUCGAGGAUAUUUAUGAGAGUAUCAAUUACCGCCUUGCAUCUGAUUCUCCUGCUUCUUUGAGCUAUGGGACAUCUACUAGGGAAAAGAAUGCUCCUAUUGGCAAUCAUAGGGGGAAGAAGAACCUUGUUCUCUCUGCAUGGGGUGAUGAAUCGUUGCUGUCUGAAGAAUACACAAAUCCCUAUUAUGAUCCCAGUAAUUAUGAAAACUACAGUGGACAAACUCAAAAAAAUUUGAGGAAAUUGAAUGAAGACAUUAUUGAUUAUGAUCUUCUCGAAGACCUGGUAUGCUACAUUGAUGAAACAUACCCGGAGGGUGCUAUAUUGGUUUUCUUACCGGGGGUUGCAGAAAUACAUACCUUACUCGAUAGACUGUCUGUCUCCUUCCAGUUUAGUGGACAGUCUUCUGAAUGGAUUCUUCCUUUGCAUUCUUCUGUAGCAUCUGAGGAUCAGAAAAAAGUGUUUAUGAGACCUCCAGAAAACAUCCGUAAGGUUAUAAUAGCUACAAAUAUUGCAGAGACUAGCAUAACCAUAGAUGAUGUGGUUUAUGUGGUUGACUGUGGAAAGCACAAAGAAAAUCGCUAUAAUCCGAAGAAGAAAUUGUCGAGCAUGGUUGAAGAUUGGAUAUCUCAAGCUAAUGCAAGGCAACGUCGAGGCAGAGCUGGACGUGUAAAGCCAGGAAUCUGCUUUUGUCUCUAUACUUCUUACCGAUAUGAGAAGCUCAUGCGGCCUUACCAGAUCCCGGAGAUGUUGCGGAUGCCGUUGGUAGAAUUGUGCUUACAAAUCAAAUUGCUAUCACUUGGAAGCAUAAAGCUAUUUUUGUCUAUGGCUCUUGAACCUCCGAAGGAUGAGGCUAUUAUGUCAGCAAUUUCUUUGUUGUAUGAGGUUGGUGCUGUUGAAGGGGAUGAAGAGUUAACUCCUCUCGGGUAUCAUUUGGCGAGACUUCCUGUUGAUGUGUUGGUGGGAAAGAUGCUGUUAUAUGGUGGAGUAUUUGGCUGCUUGUCACCAAUUCUAUCUAUUUCAGCCUUCCUGAGUUACAAGUCUCCAUUUGUUUAUCCAAAAGAUGAGAGGCAAAAUGUUGAAAGAGCCAAGUUGGCACUUUUGGGUGAUAAACUUGGCUGUGAAACUGACUCUGGCAGUGGUAACUGGCAAUCUGACCAUCUCCUAAUGAUGGUAGCGUAUAAAAAGUGGGAGAAAAUUUUGCGGGAGAAUGGAGUCAAAGCAGCAAAGCAGUUUUGCAGCUCAUAUUUCUUAAGCAGUUCUGUCAUGUAUAUGAUAAGAGACAUGAGAAUACAAUUUGGAACAUUACUAGCUGACAUUGGACUCAUCAACCUCCCAAAGAAGUCGGAGAUUGAUUGGAAAAAGAAAGAGAAGCUUGACAGUUGGCUUUCAGAUAUAUCACAGCCUUUUAAUAUAAAUUCAAAUCAUUCCUCAAUUCUUAAGGCCAUAUUGUGUGCAGGUCUGUAUCCCAAUGUAUCUGCGAGAGAAGAAGGCAUUGCUACAACUGCUCUUGGGAACCUAAAACAGAAUGCAGGUCUUUCAGCAAAGAGUUACCCUGCGUGGUAUGAUGGAAAACGGGAAGUUCACAUACACCCUUCCUCAAUCAACUUUGACUUAAAAGCCUUUCAGUACCCAUUUCUCGUCUUUCUUGAAAAGGUCGGAAGUGGGUGGGGAAAGAAAUUCUAGGUGCCUUUUCUUGAUGAAGUUUGCUGUUUGAACUAAACACCUUUCUCCCUUUGUUUGGGAUAAAGAAAGAAAUCUCAAACUAAUUGUAUACUCGACACUAUUGCAUUCAUUUGUCCAAAUACAUCACAUUUUAGCAUUCAGGAACAGUUCCGUUAAUGUUUUCCUAUUAGACCUUGCAAAACCCCAAAUAUGUAAAACUGACAUCAUCUCUAAGCAUCUUGGUGUGACUAAAUUUUUGAAUAAAGGGCACAAAUCCUCUGAUAAUCACGUAAGCUGCAAGUGGCUUAUGAAGAGCUCUGAUCUAUGGCUAUCUAUGGUGUAUAGACAUAACAUACAGUCUGCAGUUAGAGGCUUAUUUGGUUUUUUUUUUUUUUCCUGAUGCAACUGAUUAUCAAUCAGCCUCCAAAACCAUGAUAAGAGCUUUACUCAGAAUGAACUUUUGCUUUCUAGGACACCGACGCUAACAGGGUGAUUAUGGUUGGAAUCCGUAUCUAGUGUGCAAGUAGAGACUAACAAGGUAUUUUUGCGAGACACCACUGUUGUCUCUCCUUAUACUAUAUUGCUUUUUGGUGGACCAAUAAACGUUCAGCACCAGACUGGAACAGUUACCAUAGAUGGAU
Lycium ferocissimum is the source of this 4724-nucleotide RNA transcript. It is a transcript of the gene named DExH-box ATP-dependent RNA helicase DExH7, chloroplastic, with no coding region annotated. The record is from RefSeq and is a predicted model, not a curated record. NCBI's taxonomy places the organism in Eukaryota, Viridiplantae, Streptophyta, Magnoliopsida, Solanales, Solanaceae. The transcript is spliced from 34 exons.